UUGUCAAAAGGGGAAACAGCCCAGAUCACCAGCUAAGGCCCCUAAGUAACUACUAAGUGACAAAGGAUGUAUUAGUACAUAGACAACCAGGAGGUUGACUUAGAAGCAGUAACCCUUUAAAAAGUGCGUAAUAGCUUACUGGUCAAGUGCUUUUGCGCCGAAAAUGAAUGGGACUAAGUAGUUUGCCGAAAGUGUGAGAUAAUAUCGGUAGAAGAGCGUUUUGUAUUAGUUAGAAGCAGUAGUGAAAACAGCUGUGGACUAUUCAAAAGUGAGAAUGUUGGCUUAAGUAACGAAAACAUUGGUUGAAAUCCAAUGCCCCGAAAACCUAAGGAUUCCUUCGCAAGGUUCGUCCACGAAGGGUUAGUCAGGACCUAAAGCGAGGUUUAACAACGUAGUUGAUGGAUAACAGGUUAAUAUUCCUGUACUAUUUUUAAUUUAAUUAUGAGUGACAAAAAAGGCUAUACCAUCCAAAGACUGGUUGUUUUGGUUUAAUUUUACGAGGUUAUGAGAAGCAUUAAAAAAAAUGUUUUGAGCUAAGUUUAGAGUACGAGAGAUAUUACGGUAUCAAAAGUGGUUCAUGUCAUGUUUUCAAGAAAAACUCUAGUAAUAUAUAGUUAAAAAUACCUGUACCUUAAAUUGACACAGAUAGGAAAGUAGAGAAUACUAAGGGGCGCGAGAUAACUCUUUCUAAGGAACUCGGCAAAAUAACUCUGUAACUUCGGGAGAAAGAGUGCCUCUGCAAAGAGGUCGCAGUGAUCAGGUCCAAGCGACUGUUUAUCAAAAACACAGGUCUCCGCUAAGUUGAAAAACUAUGUAUGGGGGCUGACGCCUGCCCAGUGCCAGAAGGUUAAAGAAAUUGGUUAGCUAACGCGAAGCUGGUGACUGAAGCCCUGGUGAACGGCAGCCGUAACUAUAACGGUUCGAAGGUAGCGAAAUUCCUUGUCGGGUAAGUUCCGACCCGCACGAAAGGCGUAACGAUUUGGAUACUGUCUCAGAAAGAGACUCGGUGAAAUAGAAUUGACUGUGAAGAUGCGGUCUACUUGCACUUGGACAGAAAGACCCUAUGAAGCUUUACUGUAACUUGAGAUUGGUUUUGGGCUUUUUUUGCGCAGUAUAGGUGGGAGGCUUUGAACUUAUUUUUCGGAAGAAAGUGAGCCACAAUGUGAGAUACCACUCUGAAAAAGUUAAAAAUCUAAUAGUAUUUUAUCAAAAUACUUGACAGUUUCAGGCGGGCAGUUUUACUGGGGCGGUAGCCUCCUAAAAGGUAACGGAGGCGUACAAAGGUUUUCUCAGUCUGGACGGAAAUUAGUUGCAGCGUGUAAAGAUAAAAGUAAGCUUGACUGUGAGACUCAAAAGUCGAGCAGAGACUAAAGUCGGUCUUAGUGAUCCGACGGUGCUGAGUGGAAAGGCCGUCGCAUAACUGAUAAAAGUUACUCUAGGGAUAACAGGCUGAUCUCCCCCAAGAGUUCACAUCGACGGGGAGGUUUGGCACCUCGAUGUCGGCUCAUCGCAACCUGGGGCGGUAGUACGUCCCAAGGGUUGGGCUGUUCGCCCAUUAAAGCGGUACGUGAGCUGGGUUCAGAACGUCGAGAGACAGUUCGGUCCAUAUCCGGUGUGAGUGUUAGAGUAUUGAAAGGAGCUUUCCUUAGUACGAGAGGACCGGGAAGGAUACACCACUGAUGUACCAGUUUUUGUGCCAACAGAAUACGCUGGGUAGUUAAGUGUAGAGUGGAUAACUGCU
Molecule: ribosomal RNA, 1741 nt
Filed under: Euglena sp. Bibong100404-2
Lineage: Eukaryota; Euglenozoa; Euglenophyceae; Euglenales; Euglenaceae
Description: bacterial LSU rRNA
Rfam family: Bacterial large subunit ribosomal RNA
Source: RNAcentral